AUUUCAGCCUCCUGCCUGCUAGACCAGACCUGAACCAUAUAUUGGCUAAUCAACACCCUACAUCAUUUGCCAGAGAAUUUUCUCAGCUCUUACAAGCAGGACGCUGUCUCUGGCUGUAACAAAAAGAGUUUGGUGGAGGUGGCAAAUAGAGCUCUUUAUGUCCCAUAACUUCCCUGCCCGCUGCCAGCUUGGUCAUGGAUGUGGAAAGAUAGAAGAUGGUUGAGAGGUUCAUUGCAAGAAAUGAUACCUCCCCUUUCCAGAUCCCUCCUGAAAACCCCUCCAAGAGACAAAGCCUGAGGAAGCAGCACUAAGAGAAAUAACAUCUCCAUGGGCACUGGGAAUGGGACUGCAGCUAUGAUGAUCUCCAGACUGAAGCAAAGCAAAGUUAGGGAGAGGUGAUGCUUCCAAUAAAAGAAUUAUGAAACUAUUCCCAUCGGUGGCCUGUCCUCUACCCGCAGUAGUGACGGAGAAGUUAGCUGGAUUUCCGUCAGCAGAACAAUUUGAGUGUGGACUCCACUGCUGCAAAUUUAGGAAAGCUCUCCAUUUGCUGCCUGCCAAGGAAACAGGAGCAGGGGAUGUUGGAGAUGCCAAUGGAAACACAGACCAUACAACCCCCAGCUUCAGGCCCUGGAGGAGAGGGGUGCUCUGAGGAAGCCUGAAGGAGUGCUGGAAGUGGGAGUGACCAACACCUGAGGACACUGCUGGACAUUCCCCUGAGCCAGUGCCACCUUCCCAGCAGCUUCUUCAAGCCACACUUGUCAAAGAAAGCAUCUGGUAAAAGAUGAAAAAUUACCUUUUUUCCAAAUGACCUUUUGGAAAAGAUCACCAUUUGGAAAGAGUCCUUUUUAUUUUUUUUAAUAGUACAUUGGAAAAUGCUGAUUUUUAUUUUAUUUUUUUCCCGUCCAUUUUCAUUUUUUCCUCUCAUUCUCUCUUUCUUUUUUUUUUUUUUUCUUUUCCAUUUCCAAAAUCUGGAUCCUCUGGUCCUCCCAUUAAACAAAAAUGUUCCUUUGAGUGGGAAGCUGCAGGGAUGUGUCUGGGUGAAGCCUCCUAGGGAUGUCUGGCCCUGAGCUUGGUGGGAACGGGCAUUCAUUCACUCAGAGCAGAGUUUUUUUGUGUGGUAGUCUCUGAACAGUCCCUGGUAUCUGCCUGCUCUGUUUCAAAUGUAAGUCAUUCAAAACAUUCCCUGUGUUUUUUUGCUCGUAAAACUGCUGAGGUACAUCCCGCACAGUGAACAAAUUACUCAGCUUUAAGUAGAUAUUUAUGCUAAUUAUCCAUGGGAAACUCCUUCUGCCAUUGUAGUUUUUCAUCUGCUGGCACAAUAUUCCAGAGGUUUUAUGUGGCGUUAACUAUCAGCAGUAAAAUCCCCUGAAAGUAACAUGAGAAGGAAAAAUCUGUUCUGCAUACAUUUAUUUUCUUUAAAUGUUCUUGAUUUGCCAUCUAUGAGAUGAAAGUGUUUACACUCAGCACUCCCUCCCCAUCACUGCAGCAGCCUACUCUCCCUGCCUGCUCUUGCCUCAGUUUAUUUACUGAAGAAUAUUCGUAUUUUGUAAAUCCCAGGUAUUUAUUCCCUUGAUUAUUUUGGCAUGGUGCAUUUUGAGGAUGCUUGCUUUGUUUUAAGCAAAUCUUUUUUCGGCCUUUGAAAAGCAGAGCACUAGUAAAAACAAAGGCAACAGCAAUAUUUGUUAAUGUAAGUCCACGCUCCUAAAAUAUUUAUUCUUUUUUCAUAUGAAGAAGAUUAAAUGCUUGCAAAAUUCUACAGACACAUGCACAUAUUUGACCCAGAAGGAUGUCUCUUGGGAUUUGUAACAGCAAAUGUGUGUUGAACAAAACGUCUUGGCCCUGUACAAACUUACUUUGUGUUCUGAAAGCCAAAAACUUCAUUUUAGCAUGACCUUAGAAGAAUAGUGAUACUUUUAGUAUUUCCUGGUAUUUGGUGCAAGGAAUGUUUUUAUUUGAAUGCAGAUGUCAUUUGGUUUACAGGAAGGAUUUGGUAACAUGUCCAUGCCAGUACUGCACUUAUCCCAAAUUUCCUGCUAUGGAGGAAGAACAUAUGUCAAAGCUCACUGUUUGUUAAAUUGAAAAGAUUCAGUACACCAGAAGCUUCUCUUCUAAACAUUGUGACUUUGUGCAAUUUACAGAAUGUUCUAUCUCCAUUAAACAAUAAACCCUUGACCCCUGGAGCUGGCUUUCAGGAUCCUGCUAUUUGAGAAGGUAGACAUAAUGGAUGGCAAUAAUAAAUGAAAAGUUCAGGAGGUUAAGAAAAACUGUUUAAUUAUUUCUCUAGAGCGUGGGCUGCAGAAGAAUUGCAUAUCUGCCUUCUCUCCUGCAGGAGCCCUGCAAGGAAUGACUGGGGCAGUGCAGCUCGGGCAGGGGAUAAAGCAGGUUGCUGGCCCUCAGCUGUGUUUAUGAACAAACAGUCUCUGGAUACUCUUCCAUCGCUGAACCUUUCAGCUUUCUGUGAGUUAACUCCCUGCCAGCAGCGAGCCUGUGCCAGCCCCACAAACCUCAGCAUCUGUUUUGCAAGGCUCUUUUAUUUGUUAGCAUGUGAAAGCUAUUGCUCAUGUGUGCUUCCCAGCUGUGGUGUGCUUGGGCUUGGUAUCUUUAAAGAAAUCUUUGCUUUAUUUGCUUGUUGAACCCAGACACACACAAAGCACAGAGUUCUCCCCUCCCUGCAUGAGCCAGUAAUGCAACCUCUGCUGACAGGUCCCCCUUCCCUGCCUUUCCUCCAUGCAAACCCAGGACAAACUUCAUGACAAGAAAAUCAGGAGGCUUUUCCUCCCUUCCCUUGAACAGGGAGCUCUCCUUUUUACACUCCUGUUUGGUUUCUGUCACAGCACUUGCUGCAUUCAAUUAUCCCAUUCUGUAUCAUGGGACCGAGAGCCCCGAGCUAAAAUCAUCAUGCUCUAGUUAUGCAAGUCACUGUACAAACAGCCAGCCAGGGAAAGGCUGCUCCAAAAACAUCCACGGCAGGGCAAGGGCUGAGGCAGACACAGGGAUCAGGACUCAUCACAUCCAAGCCCAAGCACAUCCACGGCAGAGCCUAAUAUAGGAUCCUGCUCAAGGUCUGGCCUGUGGCCACCUGCUGAUAAUAUUUCCUUCUCUUGGACAUGCAAAAUCAUGGAAUGGUUUGGUUUGGAAGGGACCUUAAACAUCACCUAAAUCGAACCCCCUGCCAUGGGCAGGGAGAACUUCCAUUAUCCCAGAUUGCUCCAAGCCUCAUCCAACAUGGCCUUGGACACUUCCAGAGAUGGGGCAGACACAGCUUCUCUGGGCACCCUGUGCCAGGGCCUCCCCACCCUCACAGCCAAGAAUUUUUUCAAUGCCUUUUUUUGUGGCAUCUCUUGGGACUUCUUCCAUGUACCAUGGAGUCUUCCAUGUCACAUGGAGUGUGGCAGGACACAGGUGUGUGUUGGAUGCAGUCGUGGGGUCACCCAAGGAGGAGCUGGAGUGUCUCUGUCACUGGGACACAGCCCUGCCCUGAAAUGGGAACACCCCGGUGAAUCUCCACCAUCUAAUUCUGAGGGCAAAUGCUCUGCUUUGGGCUCACAGCUUGCCAUGCCAGAUACCUGGCAUGGUUUAAUGGCAGGAUUGGCAGUGCUGCUUUAACUCUUUGGACUCAGUGACCUUAAAGGCCCUUUUCCAAGCCAAAUGAAUCUAUGAUCCAUGUUUAACUCCCUUUUUAUGUGUCUUGCAUAGCUCAAGGCUUCCUCUGAGGGUGUUUUGGGAAAGGAAAUUCAUCAUUUAAUGCUGAGGCCAGCAGAUGGAGCAGACCUUCCUUUGGGGUAAAUCAGCUUGUAUUUGUGAUCUCCAAGACUCUAGAUCAGUGUGUCAGCUAGAAUGUUGGCCAAAGGCUUUUUAUUACUAUUUUAUGACAGAUUUGGAAAGGGUUUUAAUAGCUUUUCACACUCUCUUUCUCCAUCUAAUUGCCUUGAUCUGCAGCUCAUACCAUCAGGAGUCAUUUUCCCAAGAUGGGCCUGAUGUAAGAAGAAUGGCUUGACUUUGUUCUUUCUAAAUAACCCCCUUUAAAUCAGCUUUCCUUCUCUGCCUGCUGUGUGGGAUAUGAAAGCACCCCAAACACAACACAAUCCCUCUGGUGUCCCCACAGCUCUGUCAGGAGGGUGGGAAACGCGACGUCACUUUGUGACCCUGGUGGAACCCUCUCUGUUUAAAUAAACAGCCCAGGUUUCAUGUAAUGUUACACUCCAUGGGGAGCCCUGGGACAAUAACAGAGCAGGAACCACUCAUAUGGCUCCUCUGGGAUGGAUCAACAAACAGAAGGAGUGUUGGGCCCACGUUGGAUGGGACGUGUCCCCAGUCUGCCACCCAAAGAGCAAAAUGGCUUCCCAUGGCCACCACCUGUAAAGCACCAAAAAACCACUUUGGGUGGAAUAUUCUUCAGGCCCAAAGUAAGUUCUAAGCAAAAGUACACAUGAACAUCGUUUCCAAGCAUAGAUUUGAGGUUAAAAGGUCUAAUGCUUAUUGUUGCUAAGGAAAUGGAGGGGGUGAUCCCCAAAAAACAUGUUUGCAAGCACUCUCCUUUUGCACCCCUGAGGCUGUGAUGCAGCUUCCUGCCCAGGUUUGGUUUCUUUCUACAAAAGACAUUAUUUAGGUCCAUCAGCCAUAGGAACAGAAUUCAGCCAAGGCCUGCAGGUGAUGAGAAAAUAAAAAAGUCCAGAGAGUGGGAAGACAAUCUGUUUAUGGGACAUGGGAGCUCAUCCUGGCAGAAUCUCCAAAGCAGCGGGAUUUCUCCUCUCUGUCCCAGUCCUGGAGUACGUGACAUUUUCCUCACACUGGCUACUUCUACAAUGAGAAAACCGUGGGAUUUUGAGGUCAGUCUUCCUUGGUAAAUUCCCCAUCAGCUAAUGACUAAAAUAACGAUUCCCCACCCUGUCCCCUCCCUUCCCCUCAUGGGUGUGGUGGGAGAACAGUCUCAUUUCCACUCAAGAAGGUGUAAGGAGGAGCUUUGGCUCCUGGUAAAAGCUGUCCCCACUUGACCUGGCUGCCAGUGGUAUCUGUCCCUUUGGCCCAGAGGUUCAAGGAGACCAAAUGGGAUCGUGACCACGUCCCUCCCUUGGAUGCUGCUGGCCACACAACCUGGCAAGCCCCAGGCUGGGAAACCUUCACUGCAUCCUUCUCUGGGCACACUGAGUGGCUCUUGGCUCCAGGCCACCGGGACAGCUCCACAUCCAGCCGGAAUCCCAGCAGCUCCUGUCCAACCACAGCACAGAGCAGACUUUGGGCCAUGUUCAAACCACUCACUGCAGCCUCAGUGAGAGAUUUAGGCACUUGGACUUGCAAAUGACCCAGGGUUUUUCCACCUUUCCCAUGUUGUUAUUGCUUCAUUCUGGAGUGCCUUCAAAACUUCCAUUUUUCUGGAGCCAAAUGUGAUCAUCUCAUGUAAUGUUUCCCUUCUACCUGAACACAAAACCUCAGCCAAAAAAUAUUGUUAGUUCCUCAUGGCAAUGUCACCAACUGCAGGCUCUCUGUCUCCAGGGUUCCUCAGGCAGCUUUUCUCUCACCACAGGCUGACAGGUACAAGCAAAACCAACACAGCAACCAGAGAAAACCCUGAACUCACCAGUCCAUCCUGAAAGAAAAUGGAAAAUGUGCAGCCUCCUCUCAGGAGAUUUUGGGAAUACCUUCUUUUGGGGGAGGACACCCUGCAGCACACAAGACACAUGUUUGAAGUGGGAUAUGAAAAAAUCCUAGGGUGUUUUUUUGGUUCCCAUCAUGUGCCAGCAAUGAUGCCUCACUUCUCCAAAGCCACCCUUCAGCCAGGACAGGUACAGACCCACCACCAUCUUGGGUUCCUCUUUUAGAGCCACUCAAGUACCACUGAGGGUCCCAGUUUCUAAGAAAUAGGUGGCACCAUACCUUGGCAAUUUGGUGGUGGACCAAACCAACCAUGAUGGGAAGUUUUCUGCUCCUGGUCCUUCAUCCAGAAGAGACUGGCAUGCUGAAGUCCCUCCCUCCCUUGGAAAUGUCCCUCAUCAUCUUUGCACUGCAGCACCAGGAGGGAGCCCCUCAGCUCUGCCAGAGGAGCAAGGGGAACCUCAUACAAACCUCUUAGGGACACCCUGGCCAGGGAAAAGCCAAUGAAAAUAAUGACUCACUUGACCCCUCACAAGACAGCCAGCACCCAAAAGUUUUCCGCACAGUGUUAAAAACACCAUGCACUGGCCUCAAAUCUUGCCGGCCACGCCAGACUCCCACCUGUUUAUGUGGAAAACUUUAUGUACCCAAAGCAUGAAGUUUUUCAGCAUAAUGUGUUGGCUGGAUCAAGGUUUCCAUGUGCUCCAGUGCUGUCAAAAAGCAAUGUCUCAGCCAACACGGGAUGCUGCAAAGAGGGCACAGAAAGUUUGAGUCUUCAGGAACUCAUUUGCAGCAGCUCCCUCAUUCCUUAGGUACUCAGAGACCUCUAACCUCCUGCCCUUUGAUGCACAGAGUGCAGACUGAAGGCAUCUCUGGAGGAUGAAAGAAAAGCCCCACGCCUGCACUGCUUUGCAGCUGUGCCCUGGGGGAGGGCCUGGACAGAGGUAAAACAACUGAAACUGGCAGGAUGGUGAGUACAAAAUGUGGCAAAAUAGAGAGUGGGCUUAGGUAAAACAGUGCAAGAGGCAGGGCCUAAAAGGAGAAGAGCAGAUGAUAAAAAGCCUUGUUUGGAAAUAAGCUGUGUGGACUCACAUGGUGACUCCUGGGGCAUCCUGUGCAGGGCUGAGAGUUGGACUCAAUGAUUCCUGUGGGUCCCUUCCAAAUCAGAAUAUUCUGUAAUUCUGUGACUCUGCACAAAAUGUUUGUGGCAAAAGGUGAAGUGCAAACAUCCUCUUUCAGGAAAAUUGCCUUUGUGCAGGAGCAGUGUCAGGACUAGUGCUGGCUGGUCUUAAUCUAGGAUGAGGGACUUAACUAUUAAGAACCGGGGAAGGUACCUGGACAAAGGCAACAGCACUCCCAGAUGCUCUGGAACCCAUGAAUGAGACGUGGUACAACCUCCCAGCCAGGUCCUGGGCAAAGGUCUUACAUGUCCUGAUCCCAAAGUUCAGUCUUCUGUGCUGCUAUUUGAACACUUGCAGCAUGUUCCCCCUCCUGAAAGGGUGGAGAACAGAGAAUUUUUCCUUCAGCCAUGGAAAUGCAACACUAUUCAUGCUGGACGGACUUGGCAGGUUUGGAACUCAGGGUCAGAACUGAAGUCAGAUCAUUUUGCUCAGGGCUUUUUUUAGUCAGAUCUAGAAAACCUCCAGUUUUUCACACUCCAAAUUUCUGACUGGCUUUAAGUUUCCUUAUGAACUUCCACUUCCCAGGCUGAACAAGAUCUGAUCCUUCUGCACCUCCCUGUAGGACCAUCCAGCCCAUCAUGGUGGCCAUCUGCUAAACUCAGCCCAGUUCAUUGGCAUUUUGCUUGUGCUGGGGACACAAACCUGGACACUGCAUCCCAGACAAGAUCUAAUGGUCCCUGGGCAAUGGGAAUAGUCACAGCCCCUCAUCUGCUUGCUGUGCUCCUGCUGCACAUUUCUCACAUGUCACAAUUUGCCAAGGGUGUCUCAGCAAGCAGUUAGAAAAGCUCCUGGUUGGAAUAAUCUCCAAUUGCAGAAUGCAGUUGCAUUUCUCAAACCCAAGGCAAGAAAACAUCAAAUAGUGAUAAUCAAAAGUGACGUCGUUUGACUGAAAAAUACACAGCCCAAUUAUUACAAAUCCUGGCGAUGAUUUCUCUUGCUUCUUCCCUGGAGAAGCCAUGCUGCCAAGGGCUGGGUGUCCUGGGGACAGUCACACUGAGGCAAUGCCAUUCUCCCGUGCUGAGUUUUGCUCUUGGACACUGAUGAGUUGAACUCUGAGUUGAUCGAGGUCCCGGGACUGCAGCGGUGAGUGACAGCUUUGUUAAGCUGUGAUUGAUGACUCUGCUACCAAAUUCUGAUUAAUGUUUCCUCCCAAAGCCUCCUUGCCCUCGCAAUAUGCUGUCCAUUAGCCCCUGCCAAUAUCUGCCUGGAAUAACCUCCUGGCUGUGAUGGGCGUUGUGUGAUUAUGGUUAUCUAAACGUGUGAAUAAUUGGGAGGUUAUGCCAUAUUACAUGCUUCAUCAAGUCCUCUAUUCCAGUUUCAGGGAAACAUUUGAAGUUCAACACUAUGUCUCAAUUAUGCCUGAAUUUCUGGCAAGGGGAAAAAAAAGUCCCAUUAACGAAGCUGUCAAAAACACAUUCUGCUUUAAAUUUCCUGGGACAAUUGGACAAUGAAACUUGCUCACUCAGUAAAGAGCUGCUUUCUCCUCACAGCAUUAACAGGCUCUUGGAUUUAUUGGAUUUCUUUCUUGCUUGGGCUCUGAAAUGAGAUCUUGAUAAAAAGGAGUUGCACAGUAAAUGAGUAAGCUCUGUAAACAAUAAAUUCUGUGAUGAAACAUUUAUCUCCAGACAGUCUAUAUGGAAAGCAAUGCUGUUCUGGUGGGAUAUGGAAUGAGUUUGCACUGUGGUGAUAUUUGCAAAUGAUAAAAGAAAUAAAAUAGGUCUGUUGUUGCAGUGCUGGGACAAUCUCGUUACUGAAAGCAAGACUUUAUUCUCACAUGUGCUCUGGAGGGCAUGGGUCUGGCCUGGGACUCUGCCCCAGGCAGCUUUACACUUCAGAAUUUUUAUGGGGAACAAACCUAUCAAUAUUCUGACAAAUUCCUUUGAA
Passer domesticus (house sparrow) is the source of this 8657-nucleotide long non-coding RNA. RefSeq lists it as uncharacterized. The record is from RefSeq and is a predicted model, not a curated record. NCBI's taxonomy places the organism in Eukaryota, Metazoa, Chordata, Aves, Passeriformes, Passeridae. The transcript is spliced from 5 exons.